RNAcentral lists this long non-coding RNA (1661 nucleotides) under Marmota monax (woodchuck). Lineage: Eukaryota; Metazoa; Chordata; Mammalia; Rodentia; Sciuridae. The record is from RNAcentral.
GGCAGAGGCAGGACUGUGUUCCUUCUGGGGGCUCCAGGGGAAAAAAAUUCUGUUUGCUCACCUUUGCAGCUUUUUACCGGCUCCCUUCCUCCAUUUUUCAAAACUAACAAAGGGGAGUCAAGUAGUAGACACUUCCAUAUUCGGCAUUCUUCUACUUUUUUAGGACCCUUGAAAUUACAUUGGGCCCACCUGCAGAAUCCAGGAUAAUCUCCUAUUUUAAAAUCAAUAGAUUAGCAAUCCUAAUCCUCCUUUUCCAUAUAACGUAAUAUGUACAGGUUCUGGGGUUAGGACAUGUAUAUCUGUGAAGGACCAUCCUACCUACCAUAGAUGGCCUUUCUACUACCAGCAUAUAACUAUUAUCAGAUUUUGCUUAAAAAGAUCAAGCAUUUAGAUUAUGUCCCAAAUGAAAUAAUAUGGACUAUUUCAAUACAUUUCAUGAGUAUAAGAAUAUAAGACAUAUUUAAACUUAACUGUAAAUUCUAUAUUUCAAAGGAAAGAUUUAGAAAAAAAUAGCACAAAUCAUAAGUAACAUGCAAUUUAAAAAAAAACAUUUCACAUCAUGGACAUAAUAUUUUGUUAUUAGGGCUCUACUUUUUUAAAGACAUCUGUUAUUUAAUACAAAAUAAAUAUUGAUUAGAUGGUUUUGAUAGUUGGCAGUCACAAUUUCUUAGGUUCUGUAAGAAAGUAAAUUUGAAAGAAAAGUUAAAUAAAAUCAUUCCAAGUAGUCUGAUACAUAUCUCUUAUUCUUGUCUGCACACACAGAAAACAAGUGUGCUACAAUUUAAAAGAAACUAAGGUAUAAGGAACACUUUGGUUAUUUAGAUUAAGAGAACUAGAGGAGGGGAGAGGAACCUGAAUUCCUCCUUCACUGUUCUUUCAUAAUUUACAGUUCAUCUCAAAGACCCCAUUCCUUCACAUUAUAUGUAUUAAUAAGUGUGCAUUUAAAAUUGAUAGACUGCUAAUUUACACCUUAAGUUCAUCGGUGUUGUAGUGAUUAUUUUAUCUUAUACCUUCUUAGACUUAUCAUUUUCAUAAUGUAAAAACCUAUGCAAUACUUAGUGCUUUAAAAAUGGUUUCUGAACCAAUAUAGUACUCAGGAAGAGAAAUGUUGAAAAUGAAUCUUGUAAUUAAGAAUGAAUUAAAGAAAUACAUAUUUCUUUUCACUUUGACUUUCACAAAAGUGUAGUCCACUUUUAACUUUAAAGUAGCUGUUAGGUUUUUUUUUUUUUUUUUUGGUGUGUGUGUGUGUGUUUUAAAUUAUUCUGAUUUGUUAAUUUCAAAUGACAGCAGAAUGCAUUUCAUAGUACACACAUGGAGCACAAUUUUUUAUGUCUCUGGUUGUACACAAAGUAUAGUCACACCAUUCGUGUCUUCAUACAUGUACUUAGGGUAAGGAUUUGUUUAUUUUUAAAUCUCUGAUUUAAUUCUUCAUUGUUAAGAUUGAGAAACCAUGAAGUGCUAUUUCUUUAUGAGAAAAAUUUUCUUAGAGAAAAAGUCCCACGUAGUUAUGGAAGAUGUCAAUUUGCUGUUUGUCUUAUGGCCUUGGUCACCCAAGCGUGUGCUAAACAACCCCAAUAAGCUAGCAUUCUAACUUCAUAAACUUAAAAAUGGAAGGGAAGCAUUUUCACACAGUCAUAACACAUAAUAAACAGCUUUAAAGA